CCUACGGGGGGCAGCAGUAGGGAAUCUUCCACAAUGGGCGAAAGCCUGAUGGAGCAACGCCGCGUGGGUGAAGCAGGUCUUCGGAUCGUAAAACCCUGUUGUUAGAGAAGAAAGUGCGUGAGAGUAACUGUUCACGUUUCGACGGUAUCUAACCAGAAAGCCACGGCUAACUACGUGCCAGCAGCCGCGGUAAUACGUAGGUGGCAAGCGUUAUCCGGAUUUAUUGGGCGUAAAGGGAACGCAGGCGGUCUUUUAAGUCUGAUGUGAAAGCCUUCGGCUUAACCGGAGUAGUGCAUCGGAAACUGGGAGACGUGAGUGCAGAAGAGGAGAGUAGAACUCCAUGUGUAGCGGUGAAAUGCGUAGAUAUAUGGAAGAACACCAGUGGCGAAAGCGGCUCUCUGGUCUGUAACUGACGCUGAGGUUCGAAAGCGUGGGUAGCAAACAGGAUUAGAUACCCUAGUAGUC
Molecule: ribosomal RNA, 465 nt
Filed under: uncultured bacterium
Lineage: Bacteria
Description: partial 16S ribosomal RNA
Rfam family: Bacterial small subunit ribosomal RNA
Source: RNAcentral